UACGUAGGUGGCAAGCGUUGUCUGGAAUUAUUGGGCGUAAAGGGCGCGUAGGCGGCUCGGCACGUCCGUUGUGAAAUCGCCCGGCUCAACUGGGCGGGGUCAGCGGAUACGGCCGAGCUUGAGCAAGCUAGGGGGCAAUGGAAUUCCUGGUGUAGCGGUGAAAUGCGUAGAUAUCAGGAGGAACACCAGUGGCGAAGGCGCUCUGCUAGGCCGUAACUGACACUGAGGGACGAAAGCUAGGGGAGCGAAUGGG
This 253-nucleotide ribosomal RNA is filed under the name uncultured bacterium. Its description in RNAcentral is "partial 16S ribosomal RNA". It matches the Rfam family "Bacterial small subunit ribosomal RNA", at positions 524 to 776 of the family's 1533-position model. The record is from RNAcentral.